Molecule: RNA transcript, 2207 nt
Organism: Mirounga angustirostris (Northern elephant seal)
Lineage: Eukaryota; Metazoa; Chordata; Mammalia; Carnivora; Phocidae
Gene: GALP
Gene name: galanin like peptide
Exons: 10
Source: RefSeq, a predicted model, not a curated record
GACGAGGUGAGGGGGCUUGGGGGGCCUCGUCUGGGAGAGUGAGGGACCAGCAGUGAGGGCACCUCAGGAUGUGACAGAAGGCUCCGGGGUGACCGUUGGAAAGGAUGAUGUUGGGAUGAUGCCCUUAGCAUCUUGAUCCUUCUGAUAUCACGAUUCCAGCCUCACCAGUCCAACCCCCUUGAAAAUCUGAGCAUUCAGUGAAUCCUGGGUCAGUAAUUCAGAGGAGAAAAGACGGAUGCCCGGAAAUGAAGAUGGGAGCAAACCAGGAUCUUCGUGGUCUCACUCGACCCCUGUCCAGGGCCUUCGUUUUAUGAUUGAGAUGAGACCGCUCCCUUCCGCGGGGGUGGGGGAGAGAGGAGGCGAUGGAAAGAAGCGUCCUGUAGCUCUAAGCGUCCACCCCUCUGGCCCUCAGAUGGCUCCCUCUGUCCGUCUGGUCCUGCUUCUUGCCGUCUUGCUCAGCCUGGGGGAGACUGCUGCCUCUGUACCUGUCCACCAGGGGCGAGGAGGCUGGACCCUCAACAGCGUGGGCUAUCUCCUGGGUCCCGUGCUCCACCUUCCCCGGAGCGCGGACCACGGAGGGAAGGAGAAGACAGCCCUGGAGGUCCUAGACCCGUGGAAGGCCGUUGAUGGGCUCCCCUAUCCCCGCCCUCAGCGGGCCUCCAAGAGGAGCCUGAGGGAGACCUUUGCCAAAGCAGAGACUGCAGAUCUGGGCAAGCUCAGUGAGAAAGCCCCCAAGGAGGGAGAUGCCCUGCGGUCCUAGAUGUCUCCAGACCUCUGCUCUGCAUCCAUCUCCCCAGCUCCUCCUGAACCCCUGUCUAGCUCCCUCCACUGAGACUGAGAUCCUGAAGUCAAGUCCCUAAAUGUCAUGCAGAAAAUUUAGAGCAUUGGGAUAAUUUUCAUAAAAGUCCCCAGGCUGCCUCAGGUUUCACUGAUUUAUCCUUGGAAGAGAGCGCCAGCAGAGGGAGGGCCCGAGGGAGGAGCAGGUUCCUGCUGAGUGCGGAGCCCGAUGUGGGGCUCAAUCCCAGGACCCUGAGAUCAGGACCUGAGACGAAACCAAGAGUCCGAUGCUUAACGGACUGAGACACGCAGCCGCCCCUGAAAUUCACCAUCUAAACCACGUUUCGGCGUCCAGUUCAGUGGCAUAAAGGACCUUCACACUGUGCAACUGUCACCACCAUCCACAGAGCCCUUUGCGUCUUAACUGAAGGUCUGCCCGCGUUGCAGGACCACUCCCCAGGAACCCGGCCCAGCUCACUGGCACCGCAGUCCUGCUUGAUGUCUUCAAUCCCAGCAUCUGUCUUUUCGUGUCUGGAUUGUCUCACUUAUCAUAAUGUCCUCAAGCUUCGUCCCUGUUGUGGGGUGUGGUAGGAUUCUCUUCCUUUUAAGGCUGAAUAAUAUUCCCUAUCUCCUGGGUGCUUAAAAAAAAAAAAAAAAUCCUGUCGAAGCCCCACCCUAAACGGAGAAAAUCAGACCAGAUGAUCGGAGGGUGGGGCAAAGCCAUGGGUGGUCUCGUUGGCUCUCCGUGUUCCUGGUGAACGCUGGCUGAGAACCUCAGGUGUAUCGAGUGCUUCCUUCCACUGAGGCCCCGAUCUGAGGUUUUACUUGGUAGGAUUACACCAAAGGCGCGUGAACUGUGAAUUAACCUGUCACUGAGGGUAUUGGAGCUGGAACAGGUCAGUGUCUGGCUUACUGGAUUUUGCCAGGUUUAUCAGCUAGAGUCAGUACCCCUCUUCUGGGGUUUCUCAACCUCGGCACUCUGGACAUUUCGGUUGGGAUCAUUCUUUAUGUGGGGCUGUCCUGUGCAUGAUAGGAUGUUGAGCAGCAUCCUGGUCUCUGUGUCAAGAUGGCAGGAGCACCCUCUCCCCAGUUGUGACAACCAAACACGUCUCUAGACAUUGUUGAAUGUUCACGUGGGGCGAAAUUAUCCUAUCCUAAAGGAUACUAACUCAUGGGGCCAAAUAAGGACACAGCUAAUUAAAAAAAAAUCAACAAAGAUGGGCGCCUGGGUGGCUCAGUCGUUAAGCAUCUGCCUUCAGCUCAGGUCAUGAUCCCAGGGUCCUGGGAUCGAGCCCCGCAUCGGGUUCCCUGCUCAGUGGGAAGCCUGCUUCUCCCUCUGCCCCUCCCCCCACUUGUGUUCCCUCUCUCGCUAUCUCUCUGUCAAGUAAAUAAAUAAAAAUCUUUAUAAAAAAAUCAACAAAGAAUAUAAA